GGUUAAGCGACUAAGCGUACACGGUGGAUGCCCUGGCAGUCAGAGGCGAUGAAGGACGUGCUAAUCUGCGAUAAGCGUCGGUAAGGUGAUAUGAACCGUUAUAACCGGCGAUUUCCGAAUGGGGAAACCCAGUGUGUUUCGACACACUAUCAUUAACUGAAUCCAUAGGUUAAUGAGGCGAACCGGGGGAACUGAAACAUCUAAGUACCCCGAGGAAAAGAAAUCAACCGAGAUUCCCCCAGUAGCGGCGAGCGAACGGGGAGCAGCCCAGAGCCUGAAUCAGUGUGUGUGUUAGUGGAAGCGUCUGGAAAGGCGCGCGAUACAGGGUGACAGCCCCGUACACAAAAAUGCACAUGCUGUGAGCUCGAUGAGUAGGGCGGGACACGUGGUAUCCUGUCUGAAUAUGGGGGGACCAUCCUCCAAGGCUAAAUACUCCUGACUGACCGAUAGUGAACCAGUACCGUGAGGGAAAGGCGAAAAGAACCCCGGCGAGGGGAGUGAAAAAGAACCUGAAACCGUGUACGUACAAGCAGUGGGAGCACGCUUAGGCGUGUGACUGCGUACCUUUUGUAUAAUGGGUCAGCGACUUAUAUUCUGUAGCAAGGUUAACCGAAUAGGGGAGCCGAAGGGAAACCGAGUCUUAACUGGGCGUUAAGUUGCAGGGUAUAGACCCGAAACCCGGUGAUCUAGCCAUGGGCAGGUUGAAGGUUGGGUAACACUAACUGGAGGACCGAACCGACUAAUGUUGAAAAAUUAGCGGAUGACUUGUGGCUGGGGGUGAAAGGCCAAUCAAACCGGGAGAUAGCUGGUUCUCCCCGAAAGCUAUUUAGGUAGCGCCUCGUGAAUUCAUCUCCGGGGGUAGAGCACUGUUUCGGCAAGGGGGUCAUCCCGACUUACCAACCCGAUGCAAACUGCGAAUACCGGAGAAUGUUAUCACGGGAGACACACGGCGGGUGCUAACGUCCGUCGUGAAGAGGGAAACAACCCAGACCGCCAGCUAAGGUCCCAAAGUCAUGGUUAAGUGGGAAACGAUGUGGGAAGGCCCAGACAGCCAGGAUGUUGGCUUAGAAGCAGCCAUCAUUUAAAGAAAGCGUAAUAGCUCACUGGUCGAGUCGGCCUGCGCGGAAGAUGUAACGGGGCUAAACCAUGCACCGAAGCUGCGGCAGCGACGCUUAUGCGUUGUUGGGUAGGGGAGCGUUCUGUAAGCCUGCGAAGGUGUGCUGUGAGGCAUGCUGGAGGUAUCAGAAGUGCGAAUGCUGACAUAAGUAACGAUAAAGCGGGUGAAAAGCCCGCUCGCCGGAAGACCAAGGGUUCCUGUCCAACGUUAAUCGGGGCAGGGUGAGUCGACCCCUAAGGCGAGGCCGAAAGGCGUAGUCGAUGGGAAACAGGUUAAUAUUCCUGUACUUGGUGUUACUGCGAAGGGGGGACGGAGAAGGCUAUGUUGGCCGGGCGACGGUUGUCCCGGUUUAAGCGUGUAGGCUGGUUUUCCAGGCAAAUCCGGAAAAUCAAGGCUGAGGCGUGAUGACGAGGCACUACGGUGCUGAAGCAACAAAUGCCCUGCUUCCAGGAAAAGCCUCUAAGCAUCAGGUAACAUCAAAUCGUACCCCAAACCGACACAGGUGGUCAGGUAGAGAAUACCAAGGCGCUUGAGAGAACUCGGGUGAAGGAACUAGGCAAAAUGGUGCCGUAACUUCGGGAGAAGGCACGCUGAUAUGUAGGUGAAGUCCCUCGCGGAUGGAGCUGAAAUCAGUCGAAGAUACCAGCUGGCUGCAACUGUUUAUUAAAAACACAGCACUGUGCAAACACGAAAGUGGACGUAUACGGUGUGACGCCUGCCCGGUGCCGGAAGGUUAAUUGAUGGGGUCAGCGCAAGCGAAGCUCUUGAUCGAAGCCCCGGUAAACGGCGGCCGUAACUAUAACGGUCCUAAGGUAGCGAAAUUCCUUGUCGGGUAAGUUCCGACCUGCACGAAUGGCGUAAUGAUGGCCAGGCUGUCUCCACCCGAGACUCAGUGAAAUUGAACUCGCUGUGAAGAUGCAGUGUACCCGCGGCAAGACGGAAAGACCCCGUGAACCUUUACUAUAGCUUGACACUGAACAUUGAGCCUUGAUGUGUAGGAUAGGUGGGAGGCUUUGAAGUGUGGACGCCAGUCUGCAUGGAGCCGGCCUUGAAAUACCACCCUUUAAUGUUUGAUGUUCUAACGUUGACCCGUGAUCCGGGUUGCGGACAGUGUCUGGUGGGUAGUUUGACUGGGGCGGUCUCCUCCUAAAGAGUAACGGAGGAGCACGAAGGUUGGCUAAUCCUGGUCGGACAUCAGGAGGUUAGUGCAAUGGCAUAAGCCAGCUUGACUGCGAGCGUGACGGCGCGAGCAGGUGCGAAAGCAGGUCAUAGUGAUCCGGUGGUUCUGAAUGGAAGGGCCAUCGCUCAACGGAUAAAAGGUACUCCGGGGAUAACAGGCUGAUACCGCCCAAGAGUUCAUAUCGACGGCGGUGUUUGGCACCUCGAUGUCGGCUCAUCACAUCCUGGGGCUGAAGUAGGUCCCAAGGGUAUGGCUGUUCGCCAUUUAAAGUGGUACGCGAGCUGGGUUUAGAACGUCGUGAGACAGUUCGGUCCCUAUCUGCCGUGGGCGCUGGAGAACUGAGGGGGGCUGCUCCUAGUACGAGAGGACCGGAGUGGACGCAUCACUGGUGUUCGGGUUGUCAUGCCAAUGGCACUGCCCGGUAGCUAAAUGCGGAAGAGAUAAGUGCUGAAAGCAUCUAAGCACGAAACUUGCCCCGAGAUGAGUUCUCCCUGACUCCUUGAGAGUCCUGAAGGAACGUUGAAGACGACGACGUUGAUAGGCCGGGUGUGUAAGCGCAGCGAUGCGUUGAGCUAACCGGUACUAAUGAACCGUGAGGCUUAACCUU
This 2904-nucleotide ribosomal RNA is filed under the name Escherichia coli. RNAcentral describes it as "23S ribosomal RNA". It matches the Rfam family "Bacterial large subunit ribosomal RNA". Lineage: Bacteria; Pseudomonadati; Pseudomonadota; Gammaproteobacteria; Enterobacterales; Enterobacteriaceae. RNAcentral also lists the same sequence under 1 other name. The record is from RNAcentral.